GAAAUAACUACGGUGCGAGUAGAGUGGCGGACGGGUGAGUAACGCGUGGGAAUCUACCCAGUAGUGGGGGACAACUACCGGAAACGGUAGCUAAUACCGCAUACGCCCUAUGGGGGAAAGGCUUCGGCCGCUAUUGGAUGAGCCCGCGUCAGAUUAGCUAGUUGGUAGGGUAAAGGCCUACCAAGGCAACGAUCUGUAGCUGGUCUGAGAGGACGAACAGCCACACUGGGACUGAGACACGGCCCAGACUCCUACGGGAGGCAGCAGUGGGGAAUAUUGGACAAUGGGCGGAAGCCUGAUCCAGCAAUGCCGCGUGUGUGAAGAAGGCCUGCGGGUUGUGAAGCACUUUCAGUUGGGAAGAUGAUGACGUUACCAACAGAAGAAGCACCGGCUAACUCCGUGCCAGCAGCCGCGGUAAUACGGAGGGUCCGAGCGUUAUCCGGAAUUAUUGGGUUUAAAGGGUCCGUAGGCGGAUGAUUAAGUCAGGGGUGAAAGUUUGCAGCUCAACUGUAAAAUUGCCUUUGAUACUGGUUAUCUUGAGUUGUAUUGAAGUAGGCGGAAUAUGUAGUGUAGCGGUGAAAUGCAUAGAUAUUACAUAGAACACCAAUUGCGAAGGCAGCUUACUAAGUACUAACUGACGCUGAUGGACGAAAGCGUGGGUAGCGAACAGGAUUAGAUACCCUGGUAG
This 688-nucleotide ribosomal RNA is filed under the name uncultured Pseudomonadota bacterium. RNAcentral describes it as "bacterial SSU rRNA". It matches the Rfam family "Bacterial small subunit ribosomal RNA", at positions 77 to 793 of the family's 1533-position model. Lineage: Bacteria; Pseudomonadati; Pseudomonadota. The record is from RNAcentral.